Molecule: unclassified non-coding RNA, 698 nt
Filed under: Fusarium proliferatum
Lineage: Eukaryota; Fungi; Ascomycota; Sordariomycetes; Hypocreales; Nectriaceae
Description: sequence contains 18S rRNA gene, ITS1, 5.8S rRNA gene, ITS2, 28S rRNA gene
Rfam family: 5.8S ribosomal RNA (bases 192-345)
Source: RNAcentral
UCGUAACAAGGUCUCCGUUGGUGAACCAGCGGAGGGAUCAUUACCGAGUUUACAACUCCCAAACCCCUGUGAACAUACCAAUUGUUGCCUCGGCGGAUCAGCCCGCUCCCGGUAAAACGGGACGGCCCGCCAGAGGACCCCUAAACUCUGUUUCUAUAUGUAACUUCUGAGUAAAACCAUAAAUAAAUCAAAACUUUCAACAACGGAUCUCUUGGUUCUGGCAUCGAUGAAGAACGCAGCAAAAUGCGAUAAGUAAUGUGAAUUGCAGAAUUCAGUGAAUCAUCGAAUCUUUGAACGCACAUUGCGCCCGCCAGUAUUCUGGCGGGCAUGCCUGUUCGAGCGUCAUUUCAACCCUCAAGCCCCCGGGUUUGGUGUUGGGGAUCGGCGAGCCCUUGCGGCAAGCCGGCCCCGAAAUCUAGUGGCGGUCUCGCUGCAGCUUCCAUUGCGUAGUAGUAAAACCCUCGCAACUGGUACGCGGCGCGGCCAAGCCGUUAAACCCCCAACUUCUGAAUGUUGACCUCGGAUCAGGUAGGAAUACCCGCUGAACUUAAGCAUAUCAAUAAGCGGAGGAAAAGAAACCAACAGGGAUUGCCCUAGUAACGGCGAGUGAAGCGGCAACAGCUCAAAUUUGAAAUCUGGCUCUCGGGCCCGAGUUGUAAUUUGUAGAGGAUACUUUUGAUGCGGUGCCUUCCGAGUUC